AGGAAUCUGCCAUUUAGUGGGGGACAACAUUCCGAAAGGAAUGCUAAUACCGCAUACGUCCUACGGGAGAAAGCAGGGGAUCUUCGGACCUUGCGCUAAAUGAUGAGCCUAAGUCGGAUUAGCUAGUUGGUGGGGUAAAGGCCUACCAAGGCGACGAUCUGUAGCGGGUCUGAGAAGGAUGAUCCGCCACACUGGGACUGAGACACGGCCCAGACUCCUACGGGAGGCAGCAGUGGGGAAUAUUGGACAAUGGGCGGAAGCCUGAUCCAGCCAUGSCGCGUGUGUGAAGAAGGCCUUUUGGUUGUAAAGCACUUUAAGCGAGGAGGAGGCUACUUAGAUUAAUACUCUAGGAUAGUGGACGUUACUCGCAGAAUAAGCACCGGCUAACUCUGUGCCAGCAGCCGCGGUAAUACAGAGGGUGCGAGCGUUAAUCGGAUUUACUGGGCGUAAAGCGUGCGUAGGCGGCUGAUUAAGUCGGAUGUGAAAUCCCUGAGCUUAACUUAGGAAUUGCAUUCGAUACUGGUCAGCUAGAGUAUGGGAGAGGAUGGUAGAAUUCCAGGUGUAGCGGUGAAAUGCGUAGAGAUCUGGAGGAAUACCGAUGGCGAAGGCAGCCAUCUGGCCUAAUACUGACGCUGAGGUACGAAAGCAUGGGGAGCAAACAGGAUUAGAUACCCUGGUAGUCCAUGCCGUAAACGAUGUCUACUAGCCGUUGGGGCCUUUGAGGCUUUAGUGGCGCAGCUAACGCGAUAAGUAGACCGCCUGGGGAGUACGGUCGCAAGACUAAAACUCAAAUGAAUUGACGGGGGCCCGCACAAGCGGUGGAGCAUGUGGUUUAAUUCGAUGCAACGCGAAGAACCUUACCUGGUCUUGACAUAGUAAGAACUUUCCAGAGAUGGAUUGGUGCCUUCGGGAACUUACAUACAGGUGCUGCAUGSCUGUCGUCAGCUCGUGUCGUGCAGAUGAUUGGGUUAAGGUCCCGCAACGAGAGCGUCAACCUCUGUUUCCUUAUUUGCCAGCGGGUUAAGCCGGGAACUUUAAGGAUACUGCCAGUGACAAACUGGAGGAAGGCGGGGACGACGUCAAGUCAUCAUGGCCCUUACGACCAGGGCUACACACGUGCUACAAUGGUCGGUACAAAGGGUUGCUACCUAGCGAUAGGAUGCUAAUCUCAAAAAGCCGAUCGUAGUCCGGAUUGGAGUCUGCAACUCGACUCCAUGAAGUCGGAAUCGCUAGUAAUCGCGGAUCAGAAUGCCGCGGUGAAUACGUUCCCGGGCCUUGUACACACCGCCCGUCACACCAUGGGAGUUUG
RNAcentral lists this ribosomal RNA (1309 nucleotides) under Acinetobacter sp. JL34. RNAcentral's name for it is "bacterial SSU rRNA". It matches the Rfam family "Bacterial small subunit ribosomal RNA", at positions 119 to 1414 of the family's 1533-position model. The record is from RNAcentral. Lineage: Bacteria; Pseudomonadati; Pseudomonadota; Gammaproteobacteria; Moraxellales; Moraxellaceae.